CGGGUUUAUACUUAAAAAGAGCAGGGGCUCUUUAGAAAAAUUUCCAAGCGAAGGGGUAUCUUCAUUUGUGGGCUGUUGAUUCUCGAUCCGAAGGCCGAAAACCUAUCUGGGCGCUGGGUUGGCCGGCCGCCUGCCGGAACAGUGCUCCACGGUGGCGCCAUAGGAGUAUCUCACUGGAGAUCAUUGAUCCGAUGAUUCCGAGCGUCAAAACAUGAAAGGAAAACACCGAAGAGAGGAGAAGCUCACCAUAAACUCGCUUGAGUGCUUUAAUAGGGCCGAGGGGUGGUAGAACGGUCUCAGCGGUGACGGCUGAGGCUUGCUCGUUGGCGAGAUUUGAAACGCGGCAACACUCGUGGUUAGGGCUUGGGGCGGCGCAUUAGGGAAGUAACCGAGGGCGGUAGGGGACCCCCUUGCACUUUAUAGGACACCAGGGCUUCGAUCCGUGCCAAAACGCGUGAAAGUCGGGAUCCGUUGCCUUCCUAGACCGGUAUUUGGCUCGGUGCCGAACUGGGGAAGAAGGAAAGGUGGGAGGGGAGGCUGUCACAUGGGCCCGAGCUAUCGGUGGGAGAAGAUGGUGGGUCCGGUCGUCAGCGGUGGAAGAAGGGAGUGGAGGGGGAAGGCGCCUGCGCUCGGCUUGGGCCGCAGGUUGGGCCGGGACGGUUAGCUGGGCUGCGGGGGAGAGAGGAAGAUGCAAGCCGAGAGCAGGUGGCUCUCCAUUUCUCUUUUUUUUUCCUUUUCUAAUUUUCCAGAGCUUUUUUUUUCAAGUUUUGAAUUCUUUUAAUUCAAAAACAAAAACACACAUCACAAAAUAAACCAUGGCCAACAUGAAUGCAAAACAUGUUCCUAAACUUAUGAUAGAUUUUAAUUUCCACGAAAUUAUUUAUUUUCUAGAUUUCAAUGCUCACAUAAAUGCUUAAAUAAAUCCAAUUAAAUCCUAUUAAUUACACAAUAGCCUCCCUUUCCUUUUUUUUAUUUUUUUCCAAAGAGCUUAAACACCAAUUUUGAGACUUCUAUAAAACUUUUCAAGGCUUUGGGUAAAAAGAGAAAAUGUUUCCCAUAAAAUACUCUACAACUUUGUUUUAAGGUGGAAACCUAAAUUCCAAAUAGAAUUUGACUUACAAUUUGAAACUAGUUCUAGGUUUUAAAUAAAUUCAUUUUGGGGAUUUUUGUAUAAAAUCCAUUUCUCAAGUUCUAGAGCUCCAAAAAUUACACAAAAUUAUUCUUAAUUCAUCUAAAACAUAGCUUAACCUAAUUUGGUCAUCACAAGCAUUUUUAGAGCAAGCAUAUUAAUUUAGCACAAUUAAAUCUAUGUUAAUUAAACACAUAAAAUAACAUUCAACUUAUAUCAUGUUCGUAUGAUGUCAUGCUCAUGCCCAUGUUUGAUGAGAAUGCUUAUGAAUUAUUUAUGAGACUAAGUGCAUGCUUAACACCUAGGGUGUUAUAGCCCUUCCCCCUUAAGGAAAUCUCGUCCCGAGAUUUUGAGUUACUAACCAUUUCUUAUGAAAUUUUGGGUAAACUGUUUUUAGGUAAUCGUCGGUUUCCUAGGUGGCAUCUCUAUCAUUAUGAUGACUCGAGACAACUUUGUAGGUUUUUACCACUCUAUUCCUGGUUACUCGCUCCUUGGUAUCUAAUAUACCCACUGGUUGCUCCCUAUACUCUAAGUCUACUUUUAUCUUGAUCCCUCUAGGCUCAAUCCUUUGCUCAGGUACCUUCAGACACUUUCUUAGCUAGGAUACAUGGAAAACUGGAAAGAUAGAGCUUAAUUCUUUAGGUAACUAUAUCUUGUAGGCCACAAGGCCUUUCCAUUUUAUUAUCUGAUACGGUCCCACGUACCUUGGUGCAAGCUUACUUUGGACCCUAAAACAUUGAACUUUGUUCAUUGGUGUAAAUUUAAGGUAAACAUAGUCACCUACAGCAAACUCAAGUGGCCAUCUUCUCUUGUUAGUAUAGCUUUUCUGUCGUGAUUGUGCGGCUUUCAUGUGUUGCUGUAUGAUUUGUACCUUUUUCUCGGCGUCGUUCACGAAGUCAAUGCCAUAGU
Molecule: long non-coding RNA, 2038 nt
Filed under: Sorghum bicolor (sorghum)
Lineage: Eukaryota; Viridiplantae; Streptophyta; Magnoliopsida; Poales; Poaceae
Description: long non-coding RNA (SBIC_LNC012329)
Source: RNAcentral